UACGGAGGGUGCAAGCGUUACUCGGAAUUACUGGGCGUAAAGCGUGCGUAGGUGGUUCGUUAAGUCUGUCGUGAAAGCCCCGGGCUCAACCUGGGAAUGGCGAUGGAUACUGGCGGGCUAGAGUGCGGUAGAGGAGAGUGGAAUUCCCGGUGUAGCAGUGAAAUGCGUAGAGAUCGGGAGGAACAUCAGUUGCGAAGGCGGCUCUCUGGACCAGCACUGACACUGAGGCACGAAAGCGUGGGGAGCAAACGGG
This 253-nucleotide ribosomal RNA is filed under the name uncultured bacterium. Its description in RNAcentral is "partial 16S ribosomal RNA". It matches the Rfam family "Bacterial small subunit ribosomal RNA", at positions 524 to 776 of the family's 1533-position model. The record is from RNAcentral.